AGGGGGAGGUCGGACCUUGGGCUGUGUCCCGGCACCCUGUGCUCAGUGGCCUGCGCUGUUGGAUUUGCGCUCCCGGCCGGGCAGCCCCCU
This 90-nucleotide microRNA precursor is filed under the name Canis lupus familiaris (dog). Its description in RNAcentral is "mir-8799 microRNA precursor family". It matches the Rfam family "mir-8799 microRNA precursor family". Lineage: Eukaryota; Metazoa; Chordata; Mammalia; Carnivora; Canidae. The record is from Rfam by way of RNAcentral. RNAcentral also lists the same sequence under 1 other name.